Molecule: unclassified non-coding RNA, 520 nt
Filed under: uncultured Glomus
Lineage: Eukaryota; Fungi; Glomeromycota; Glomeromycetes; Glomerales; Glomeraceae
Description: bacterial SSU rRNA
Rfam family: Eukaryotic small subunit ribosomal RNA
Source: RNAcentral
AGCAGCCACGGUAAUUCCAGCUCCAAUAGCGUAUAUUAAAGUUGUUGCAGUUAAAAAGCUCGUAGUUGAAUUUCGGAAUUAAUUAAUUGGUCGUGCCUAUGGUACGUACUGAUUUUAUUGGUUUCUCCCUUCUGACGAACCAUGAUGUCAUUAAUUUGGUGUCGUGGAGAAUCAGGACUGUUACUUUGAAAAAAUUUAGAGUGUUUAAAGCAAGCUAACGCUUGAAUACAUUAGCAUAGAAUAAUGAAAUAGGACGUUUGAUCCUAUUUUGUUGGUUUCUAGGAUCAACGUAAUGAUUAAUAGGGAUAGUUGGGGGCAUUAGUAUUCAAUUGUCAAAGGUGAAAUUCUUGGAUUUAUUGAAGACUAACUACUGCAAAAGCAUUUGUUAAGGAUGUUUUUAUUAAUCAAGAAUGAAAGUUAGGGAAUCGAAGACGAUCAGAUACCGUCGUAGUCUUAACCAUAAAUUAUGCCGACUAGGGAUCAGAUGAUGUUAAUUUUUUAAUGACUCAUUCGGCGCCUU